AUUGAACGCUGGCGGAAUGCUUUACACAUGCAAGUCGAACGGCAGCACGGACUUCGGUCUGGUGGCGAGUGGCGAACGGGUGAGUAAUGUAUCGGAACGUGCCCAGUCGUGGGGGAUAACGUAGUGAAAAUUACGCUAAUACCGCAUACGAUCUAUGGAUGAAAGCGGGGGAUCGCAAGACCUCGCGCGAUUGGAGCGGCCGAGAUAAGAUUAGGUAGUUGGUGGGGUAAAGGCCCACCAAGCCAACGAUCUGUAGCUGGUCUGAGAGGACGACCAGCCACACUGGAACUGAGACACGGUCCAGACUCCUACGGGAGGCAGCAGUGGGGAAUUUUGGACAAUGGGCGAAAGCCUGAUUCAGCCAUUCCGCGUGCAGGAUGAAGGCCCUCGGGUUGUAAACUGCUUUUGUACAGAACGAAAAGGUUUCUACUAAUACUAGGAGCUCAUGACGGUACUGUAAGAAUAAGCACCGGCUAACUACGUGCCAGCCGCCGCAGUAA
This 500-nucleotide ribosomal RNA is filed under the name uncultured bacterium. RNAcentral's name for it is "partial 16S ribosomal RNA". It matches the Rfam family "Bacterial small subunit ribosomal RNA", at positions 30 to 523 of the family's 1533-position model. The record is from RNAcentral.